UGGGGAAUAUUGCACAAUGGGCGCAAGCCUGAUGCAGCCAUGCCGCGUGUAUGAAGAAGGCCUUCGGGUUGUAAAGUACUUUCAGCGGGGAGGAAGGGAGUAAAGUUAAUACCUUUGCUCAUUGACGUUACCCGCAGAAGAAGCACCGGCUAACUCCGUGCCAGCAGCCGCGGUAAUACGGAGGGUGCAAGCGUUAAUCGGAAUUACUGGGCGUAAAGCGCACGCAGGCGGUUGAUUGAGUCAGAUGUGAAAUCCCCGGGCUUAACCCGGGAAUUGCAUCUGAUACUGGUCAGGUAGAGUCGUGUAGAGGGGGGUAGAAUUACAUGUGUAGAGGUGAAAUGCGUAGAGAUGUGGAGGAAUACCGGUGGCGAAGGAGGCCCCCUGGACAAAGACUGACGCUCAGGUGCGAAAGCGUGGGGAGCAAACAGG
Molecule: ribosomal RNA, 429 nt
Filed under: Chloroflexota bacterium
Lineage: Bacteria; Bacillati; Chloroflexota
Description: Chloroflexi bacterium partial 16S ribosomal RNA
Rfam family: Bacterial small subunit ribosomal RNA
Source: RNAcentral